RNAcentral lists this small RNA (562 nucleotides) under Drosophila virilis. RNAcentral's name for it is "GJ26057". The record is from RNAcentral. Lineage: Eukaryota; Metazoa; Arthropoda; Insecta; Diptera; Drosophilidae.
AGAAAUCAAAAUUUCGAGUGCGCAGUCAAACGGCCAAAUGCAGCUUUUGCAAUUCCGCACAAGGAAUGCAAAGCACCAUGUAUUGCGAAUUGAAAAAGAAAUCAAAUUGAAUACUAAGGUGGCCACAAAUAAAAAAGUCGUCUGCGAUGCCGUGCUGACAUACACCCAACCAGCAGCAAUGGCAAUAGAACAACCAUGCCAGUGAGUGCUGAUAGCAAUGCACCCACAAUAAGUAAUAAGGGGCCGUCUCGAACUUUAGAGAUAUGCUUCCAACAGAUAUGCUUUCUUGGCACCACCCCAUAAGGCCGAAGACAUAGGACUAUCGAAUCAGUGGCUGAGCAGCCCAUUUCAUCUCUAGAAGGAAACCGAAAAAUGCAAAGAACAAUGCCCCCACAUCGUGCUGAUUAGAAUAGACGACGUCCAACUUGGGUAGGACUAUGUGGCUCCUAGCCAAUAAUGUGCCCACCUACAGGGACAUCGUACAGAAACUGGAAGAAUAAAAAAUUAAGUUAUACUUAUAUCAGCUGCAGGAGGAUAAGCCCUAUCGCAUAGUAACCACGGA